AUUGAACGCUGGCGGCAGGCUUAACACAUGCAAGUCGAACGAGUGGCGGACGGGUGAGUAAUGCUUUGGAAUCUAGCUUAUGGAGGGGGCUAACUACGGGAACCUGUAGCUAAUACCGCUUACCAUACGAUGAGCCCAAGUGGGAUUAGGUAGUUGGUGAGGUAAAGGGUCACCAAGCCGACGAUCGCUAGCUGGUCUGCGAGGCUGACCAGACACACUGGGACUGAGACACGGGCCAGACUCCUACGGGAGGGAGCAGUGGGGAAUAUUGCGCAAUGGGGGCAAACUGAAGCAGCCAUGCCGCGUGAAUGAAGAAGGGCUUCGGGUUGUAAAGUUCUUUCGGUAGGGAGGCGGUAACUACAGAAGAAGCACCGGCUAACUCCGUGCCAGCAGCCGCGGUAAUUC
RNAcentral lists this ribosomal RNA (405 nucleotides) under uncultured bacterium. RNAcentral's name for it is "partial 16S ribosomal RNA". It matches the Rfam family "Bacterial small subunit ribosomal RNA", at positions 30 to 526 of the family's 1533-position model. The record is from RNAcentral.